GGGGAAUAUUGGACAAUGGGCGCAAGCCUGAUCCAGCCAUGCCGCGUGGGUGAAGAAGGCCUUCGGGUUGUAAAGCCCUUUUGUUGGGAAAGAAAAGCAGCCGGCCAAUAUCCGGUUGUUCUGACGGUACCCAAAGAAUAAGCACCGGAUACCUUCGUGCCAGCAGCCGCGGUAAUACGAAGGGUGCAAGCGUUACUCGGAAUUACUGGGCGUAAAGCGUGCGUAGGUGGUUUGAUAAGUCAGCGGUGAAAGUUUGCAGCUUAACUGUAAAAAUGCCGUUGAAACUGUCGGACUUGAGUGUAAAUGAGGUAGGCGGAAUGCGUGGUGUAGCGGUGAAAUGCAUAGAUAUCACGCAGAACUCCGAUUGCGAAGGCAGCUUACUAAGCUACAACUGACACUGAAGCACGAAAGCGUGGGGAUCAAACA
Molecule: ribosomal RNA, 426 nt
Filed under: uncultured bacterium
Lineage: Bacteria
Description: bacterial SSU rRNA
Rfam family: Bacterial small subunit ribosomal RNA
Source: RNAcentral